RNAcentral lists this long non-coding RNA (822 nucleotides) under Homo sapiens (human). RNAcentral's name for it is "HSALNT0144134". Lineage: Eukaryota; Metazoa; Chordata; Mammalia; Primates; Hominidae. The record is from RNAcentral.
GAAGACAGAGAGGAAUAUGUUUAACCAUCUCAAUUUUAUAGAAAGAUAAGGACAUUUAAAAGACACGUGGGAAAGAUGGUGGGGGUGGGCCUGUUGAAGGGACAGUAUUCAAAUGAAGUAAUUACAUGCUAAGCUGGAACUAUGGUGUAAGAUAUCAUUACUCACCGGCAUGGGGGAUCAUCAGCACACUGGUGAGGAGAAACGCAAUCAUAGCAGGAGAACAAAGGAUGGGGCUUAGGCAGCAACUGGAACGGACUCCUGGGAGAGAAGCCAGCAGAAUAGGAUGGAAGCAUUUUCAGAAUUCCCAUGAAAGAACCCAUGGGACCCCCAUGUCCUUUCUUGGUCCCACAAGGCAUGUGGUAAAAGGAGAAAGCCCUGAAAGGGUGUAGGUCCCAGUUUUGCCACUAACUGACAAUGUGCCUCUAAGAAGAUUAUGUUCCCUCCUUGAGACUCAGUUUACCCAUCUGUAAAAUGGAAAUGUAGCCAUGAGCUCCCUGAAGACACAGCCGUGGGCUUCUGUAUUUACUGAUUGAUUCCAUGGUCAUUUCUUCCAGGCCUGCCUCGUGUCAGGCAUCAAAGGAUUGAGGAUCCAGGAGUGCAAAGUGAGGAGAAAACACUCCUUACCUGAGUUGCUCAUAGACUAAUGCGGAAGGGAGGCAAGAAAAGAGGAGAGUGAGAUGUCCAAAAGCAAGCUGGAAAAAUGCAGCAAAAACCACAGCAACUCAAGUCCUCAGCCUCUGUCAGGAGUUCUGAAAACAGAGCUACAAACUCAGGAAAUGGUCUUCGUCUAGAUCCAUGAGAAUUAACUGUGCAGGGAUGGAA